UUGGUUUCAAUAUUAUAAUAGAAAGACAUAAGUGACAACAAUAAAUUUAUGGAAGUAGUUAUAUUAGUUUUAUCAGGAGACUUCAGGCAGACAUUUCCAGUCAUUCCAAGACAAACAAGAUCUGAUGAAAUAAAAGCAUGCAUUAAGUCUUCACACCUUUGGAAUAAAGUACACAGAUUCUACUUCAAUACUAACAUGUGAGCUUUAUUAGCUAGGGACCAAUGUGCAGAACAGUUUUCACCUGGCUCCUCCAAUUAGGAAAUGGGAAAGUUCCAUUUGAUGGGAAUUUGGCUCAUAUUGCUAUCAUAGUGAAUUCCCCCUGCUAAAUUGAAAAACAGGGUAUUUUCAGUCUUAAAUAAUGAUUAUAAUUUACAUAAAUGGUUGUGUGAAAGGGCAAUUCUUGCUCAAAAAGAUGAGACAGUAGCAAGGAUUAACCAUGAAUUAAUGAAUAGGAUUCCAACAGUCAUUAAGGAGUACGAAUCAGUUGAUUCAGACCAUGGAUGAAAAUCAAGCUGUCCAUGACCCAACAGUGUUCCUUAACUCUCUUGAGCCACCUGGAACUCUUCCACAUAAACUUUUUCUGGAGGUAGGAGUUCUAAUAAUACUAAGCAAUUUAGAUCCUUCCCCAAUUAUGUAAUGAAACAAGGUUGAUUGUGAAGACAUUAUCACCUACUGUGAAAGAAGCUACCAUCAUCACUGGUUGUGCCUUAGUGGGAGGAGGUUUUCAUUCCCAGAAUUCCAAUCAAACCAACAGACAUGCCAUUUGAGUUCAAACAAACUCAAUUCCCAGUGUGACUUUGCUUUGCAAUGUCUAUUAAUAAAGCUCAACGUCAGACUUUGAAACCUAUUAGCACUUAAUUGAGCUCUGCUUUUCUCAUGGUCAACUUUACGUUGAGCUCCAGGGGUUGAUAGUUUGCAAGACUUAUUUGUCUAUACUCCAAACCAGAAAACAAAGAAUAUUGUUUACCCAGAAGCUCUUAGAUAAUUUCCUUCAACAUGUGAUAGAAUUUAUCUCCCUUCAUAAAAGUGGUUAAAUUUUGUAUUUUCGUUUAUUAUUAUUUUGUAUUAUGAAUUCAGAACUGAUUUACCAGUUGAAGAAUAAAUUGUAUCCUAAUAACAAAUUUCUAUACGACAUAUCAAAAUAAGUAUAUAAGGAACAAUUUCAUUCC
This is a long non-coding RNA of Octopus sinensis (East Asian common octopus), 1169 nucleotides long. RefSeq lists it as uncharacterized. The transcript is spliced from 4 exons. The record is from RefSeq and is a predicted model, not a curated record. Lineage: Eukaryota; Metazoa; Mollusca; Cephalopoda; Octopoda; Octopodidae.